GUAAAAGCUUCAUGUAAAGGAAUGCACACACUGAUAUGUGCCUUGAGGACAAGCACUUGUUUGGUCACUAAACUCUCAAAGCUACUGAAACUGCUGCUAAGGACUAGUGGAAGUCAACUGAGCUUAUCAUCAACUCCCUGAACGCUGAUCAUCAACAGUGAAGGAUAAAACCAAAAGUAACAGGAGUUAAUGUGUUAGAAGAAGUGGCCUUAAUUCACCCUUGUUGGUUCAAGUGACUGCAAACAGUGACUGAGGGUGUCACCACACUGCAAAGAAGCGACACGUAUGCUCUGCACAUAUCACUGAACGUGCCCUCAGCACCGCAGAGGAACGAGGUUUUCUGGAAGAUCUUCACCACCACCCUGUGGCCACAGCGAAAUAUUGCAAGAAUUGAGCUGCCCUGGCUUGAACCUGGGACAUCGUGUCCACCGCGCUCAGAGGAAAAGGACCAUGUGCAGCAAUUCGCUGCUCUAGUCGACUGAACUUCUAUAGCCAAAUUAAGCUCGCUGUUUUGCUAACUGAGAAGAAGAAACGAGAGCCACAAUGAAUAAUUCUUUCCUCUUUACCCAUUAAGCAGCAUCUGAAAUUUUCUAAGUCUUCUUAGCCUCAGCCUCCUUUCUCAUUUAAAAGUUUGAGUCAUUAAAAAACUGCUCAUCCUGCCAGUUAGAACUAACAUCAUUCAUUACUUACCUAGAUCUUGACGGACUCUGCAGUUAGUCUGGUUUGAUGCAUUUUAACAGACAGCCAAGAAAACUGCUGUAGAAACAGCCUUAAAAACCAAAGUUUCAUUGAGCUGCUUUUUAGUGUCUUGUCUCAUCACAGAAUAAUGAUUUGAAAAUAAUUACAUGGGAGCAAGAGUUCAUCAUUUGCUCUUAAAAAACAUUUCAUCUGGAAGGUGGGAGAUGCAGGGGUUUUUAGAUUGAUUCCUGUGCUAAUUACCUUUGUUAGGAGAUUGAAUAUGACAGCAGUGACUAUGAUGGUUAAUUAGAUAUACCUGACCUUAUUGACAGAGCAAUUUGUAGACACUUUUUCAGUAAUUCAGUAUUUCUAAAUCUGGGUGUGCUUAUAGGAAAGGGGCCAUGGUGCACCUGGGGCUUCUCCUUUCCCCUUAAGCAGUUUCAGCUUUCCUGAAAAAAAAUCCCUGGGAGAAACAGUUGAUAAAUCCUACAUCACCUUGUGUUUGGAGAGAAAGACAGCCCUUGAAAUGUAGUGGUACUCCUUCCUCUGUCCUCUCAGCUCUGCUCUCCUGAACCUCACUGACAUGACUCCAGUGAUGUAGAUGGACACCUUCCAACCUCUGCUCAUCCACAGGGUGGUUUGACUGCCAUUGCAUGUGUCCCACUCUGAAUGCUUAAAACAUUAAAAUGACUCAGAUAAAUCUUGUCCAGGUGUCAAUCACACACACACACAUCUCCCAAUGCAGGCUGUUGAUGCAAUGUAGGCUGAAAUGAUGCAAUGUAAACAGAGGGAGGGAGAGAUGGAUGUGGGUCACCUGUCUGGUGCAACCUGCUGUAGCUGCCAGCAGAGACAUUUGGGGGUGCCACACGGAGUCUACAAAGGAGAUGUAGGUGGAAACACAUGUACACACACACACACACACGUGUCUGUUUUUUAAAAUCAGAGCCUAAAUACCUAACAGUGGCAGUACGUGAGUUCUCAGCCCAGGCACUGGACAAAUUCUGAUUGCAGUGAACUAAAAAGAGACUUAAGAUUAACAAAAAAAGUACUGCACUAACAGUUUAUAUGGUUUCACCACAUUCUCACAAUUACAUAUCCUCUAGAUAGUUAGAGUAACUAGAUUUUGUAAAGCAUUUAUUUGUGUAAGGAGUAUUUGUGUGCUUUCCUUACAAGCUACAUGGCAUGCUGUUUUUCACUGCUGAGUUUUUAAUUUCUCCUUUGAUUCUGGAACAUUCUGAAAAGGCCUGAGUCCUUGUCUCUGUUACCAAGCACAGGUCAUUAUGCAGCCUUUGGAAAAAACCUAAACAAACAACAACACAUCUAAGUCAAGCAAUGCUAAUUCUGUGAAAACUAAAAGCUCCAUCUGAUAAAUCAGCUCUCGAGGAACUUCAAAGCUGAUAGUACAGAACAAUCUACAGGAUUUAGCCUGACUGCCCAAGCAUGAAAUAAAAUGCACAAGUGAGCUCACCCUGGCCAGAUGAACUACAGGGUCCUUAGAAAGCCUAUUGAUUGCUACAUCCUGCUCCAGUGUUUGCUUGGGGUAUUGUUUUUAUGUUAUCCAAUCUACCUCACUAAGUGCUCAAACUGCCUUUCACUUUAAUGUUGGAGCACUCACCACACAUCCCACCUCAUCAGCAACUGCCUUGGGAGGCUGCUUGAGAAACUCUCAUCUUUGAGAUGAACCAAGAAAUAGGAAAGCCUGGAUGUUGGAAAGAGAG
Cyanistes caeruleus (blue tit) is the source of this 2396-nucleotide non-coding RNA. Lineage: Eukaryota; Metazoa; Chordata; Aves; Passeriformes; Paridae. The record is from RefSeq and is a predicted model, not a curated record.